This 641-nucleotide ribosomal RNA is filed under the name Blastococcus sp. I12A-02654. RNAcentral's name for it is "bacterial SSU rRNA". It matches the Rfam family "Bacterial small subunit ribosomal RNA", at positions 96 to 750 of the family's 1533-position model. The record is from RNAcentral. Lineage: Bacteria; Bacillati; Actinomycetota; Actinomycetes; Geodermatophilales; Geodermatophilaceae.
UGGCGAACGGGUGAGUAACACGUGGGCAACCUGCCCUCAGCUCUGGGAUAACUCCAAGAAAUUGGGGCUAAUACUGGAUAUGACCGCUGACCGCAUGGUCUGGUGGUGGAAAGAUUUAUCGGCUGGGGAUGGGCCCGCGGCCUAUCAGCUUGUUGGUGGGGUAGUGGCCUACCAAGGCGACGACGGGUAGCCGGCCUGAGAGGGUGACCGGCCACACUGGGACUGAGACACGGCCCAGACUCCUACGGGAGGCAGCAGUGGGGAAUAUUGCGCAAUGGGCGAAAGCCUGACGCAGCGACGCCGCGUGGGGGAUGACGGCCUUCGGGUUGUAAACCUCUUUCAGCAGGGACGAAGCGAAAGUGACGGUACCUGCAGAAGAAGCACCGGCCAACUACGUGCCAGCAGCCGCGGUAAUACGUAGGGUGCAAGCGUUGUCCGGAAUUAUUGGGCGUAAAGAGCUCGUAGGCGGUUUGUUGCGUCGGCUGUGAAAACCUGAGGCUCAACCUCAGGCCUGCAGUCGAUACGAGCAGACUAGAGUGUUGCAGGGGAGACUGGAAUUCCUGGUGUAGCGGUGAAAUGCGCAGAUAUCAGGAGGAACACCGGUGGCGAAGGCGGGUCUCUGGGCAACAACUGACGCUGAG